Molecule: long non-coding RNA, 207 nt
Filed under: Elaeis guineensis (African oil palm)
Lineage: Eukaryota; Viridiplantae; Streptophyta; Magnoliopsida; Arecales; Arecaceae
Description: long non-coding RNA (EGUI_LNC028539)
Source: RNAcentral
CAUUAACAUGGGUUAAGAUUAUUAAUUGAAAUCAUUUCAAUUUUGUAAAAUAAUUUUACAACAAUUUUAUACAAAAUUUUUGUUCUGAAAACUAGAAUGGCUCACCCCUGAAUUGAGUUGGCUCACUUUAGUAGGUCAAUUAAGUCUAAUACUUGAUCGACUAACUGAUCAUAAACAGUAACCAUUACUAUUCGGCUUAAGACAACU